RNAcentral lists this transfer RNA (73 nucleotides) under Pseudocorticium jarrei. RNAcentral's name for it is "tRNA-Arg". It matches the Rfam family "tRNA". Rfam says of the family: Transfer RNA (tRNA) molecules are approximately 80 nucleotides in length. Lineage: Eukaryota; Metazoa; Porifera; Homoscleromorpha; Homosclerophorida; Oscarellidae. The record is from RNAcentral.
ACGUCCAUAGCUCAAUUGGUAGAGCAUUUACCUUCUAAGUAAAAUCGUGUAGGUUCGAUUCCUACUGGGUGUA